Molecule: long non-coding RNA, 385 nt
Organism: Tympanuchus pallidicinctus (lesser prairie-chicken)
Lineage: Eukaryota; Metazoa; Chordata; Aves; Galliformes; Phasianidae
Exons: 3
Source: RefSeq, a predicted model, not a curated record
UAGAGAGGAUGACUCCGAACAGGCCCUGACCCCAAAGGGGACAUCAUUGGAAUGUCCCGAAUGGGUUCUGGACUCCAAUAUGUCCCCAUGUGGGUGCUGGAUCCCAAUGGGGACAUCAUGGGAAGGUCCCCAAAUGGAUUCUGAACCCCAGUAUGUGCCAGUAUGGGUGCAGAACCUCAAUGGGACAUCAAAGGAAGACCCCAAAAUGAAUCCUGGACCUCCAUAGGGUGCAUAGAGAGGAUGACUCCAAACAGGUCCUGACCCCAAUGGGGACAUCAUAGCGAUGUCCCCAAAUGGAUUCUGAACCCCAGUAUGUCCCAGUAUGGGUGCUGGACCUCAAAGGGGACAUUAGUGGAAGACCCCAAAAUGAAUCCUGGACCUCCAU